AGGUGCGAUCAUACCAACAAGAAUGCACCAAAUCCCAUCAGAACUCCGUAGUUAAGCAUGCUUGGGUGAGAGUAGUACUAGGAUAGGUGACCUCCUAGGAAGUCCUCGUGUUGCAUCUC
This 119-nucleotide ribosomal RNA is filed under the name Lupinus angustifolius (narrow-leaved blue lupine). The record is from RNAcentral. Lineage: Eukaryota; Viridiplantae; Streptophyta; Magnoliopsida; Fabales; Fabaceae.